This 141-nucleotide long non-coding RNA is filed under the name Mus caroli (Ryukyu mouse). RNAcentral's name for it is "lncRNA (MGP_CAROLIEiJ_G0006303.1)". The record is from RNAcentral. Lineage: Eukaryota; Metazoa; Chordata; Mammalia; Rodentia; Muridae.
AGUCCCCUCUGUCCAAGGAGGAUGCUAACCCCAGCAGAGACUGACUAUCUGGCAGUACCCACUCUGGGUCUGCCAGGCCCCAUGGGCUCCUUCCUGGGACUGUAGGGUUCCAGCCUGGGAUUUCGAUGGGCUGGAGGAAGG